RNAcentral lists this ribosomal RNA (802 nucleotides) under Stemonitis fusca. RNAcentral's name for it is "bacterial SSU rRNA". It matches the Rfam family "Eukaryotic small subunit ribosomal RNA", at positions 1 to 517 of the family's 1831-position model. The record is from RNAcentral. Lineage: Eukaryota; Evosea; Eumycetozoa; Stemonitida; Stemonitidae.
AACCUGGUUGAUCCUGCCAGUAGCGUAUGCUUCUCCCAAAGAUUAAGCCAUGCAUGUCCCCGACUAAGAGGUGACAAUCUCUCUGAAUCUUGCGAACGGCUCCGCAAAUGGUUGUAAUUCAAGGCACGCCGAAAAAACAGGGGAAUCCCUCCGUCCGCGGGGGGACCUCCUGGUACUUAUUUCUAGUUGGAUAUCCCGGGUAAUUCUAGGGCUAAUACAUGGCAAAAACCCGCAGGAUGCGGCCAGUAGGGGGGGGGCUGGGCUUCGGCUCACGCUUUUUUCCGAAAGCCCGUCCUGUUGGGCGUGAAGGAUCAUCUGAAAAAUAAAAGCUCGGGAAUUAAAACGUAAACGAUCGCGAAAGACUGCACGCCUAUACCCGCACACUCCUUUCGGGGGGUAACCGUAUUCGGCAACCCAUGUGAUUCUCAGGUCGGAUUAAAAUACCGGCUGUAACCUUUUUUUCUGUUUUUGUACGGCACAAAGCGCGCUUCGGCGUCGCCUCCCGCACGGACGAAAUAAAGGCCAGCUCGGGAAAGUUUUCCGUGUGACCUGGGUUCAUUGACGGCCUUGUACGGGCGGGCGCGUGUCUUGGCUUCCAACCUAUCAACUAGAAUGCGGUAUAAUGGGCUGCAGUGGUAACAACGGGUACAGAGGAUUAGGGUUCGGUUCUGGAGAGUGGGCCUGAGAGAUUGCUCCUACUUCUAAGGAAGGCAGCAGGCGCGCAAAGUUCCCAAUGGGCUUCGAGCUCGAGGGCGUUAGGGGAAAUAUGAAUGCUCGUCAUAAAGUCUCUCAAUCUAAACGU